This 500-nucleotide ribosomal RNA is filed under the name uncultured bacterium. Its description in RNAcentral is "partial 16S ribosomal RNA". It matches the Rfam family "Bacterial small subunit ribosomal RNA", at positions 30 to 523 of the family's 1533-position model. The record is from RNAcentral.
AUUGAACGCUGGCGGAAUGCUUUACACAUGCAAGUCGAACGGCAGCACGGACUUCGGUCUGGUGGCGAGUGGCGAACGGGUGAGUAAUGUAUCGGAACGUGCCCAGUCGUGGGGGAUAACGUAGUGAAAAUUACGCUAAUACCGCAUACGAUCUAUGGAUGAAAGCGGGGGAUCGCAAGACCUCGCGCGAUUGGAGCGGCCGAUAUCAGAUUAGGUAGUUGGUGGGGUAAAGGCCCACCAAGCCAACGAUCUGUAGCUGGUCUGAGAGGACGACCAGCCAGACUGGAACUGAGACACGGUUCAGACUCCUACGGGAGACAGCAGUGGGGAAUUUUGGACAAUGGGCGCAAGCCUGAUCCAGCCAUUCCGCGUGCAGGAUGAAGGCCCUCGGGUUGUAAACUGCUUUUGUACAGAACGAAAAGGUUUCUACUAAUACUAGGAGCUCAUGACGGUACUGUAAGAAUAAGCACCGGCUAACUACGUGCCAGCCGCCGCCGUAA